UACGAACUGUGCGAACGUUAUUCGGAAUCACUGGGCUUAAAGGGUGCGUAGGCGGCUUGUUAAGUCAGGUGUGAAAGCCCCCGGCUCAACCGGGGAACAGCGCUUGAAACUAGCAGGCUGGAGUGAGGCAGGGGUGUGCGGAACUUCCAGUGGAGCGGUGAAAUGUGUAGAUAUUGGAAGGAACGCCGGCGGCGAAAGCGGCACACUGGGCCUUGUCUGACGCUGAGGCACGAAAGCCAGGGGAGUGAAC
RNAcentral lists this ribosomal RNA (250 nucleotides) under uncultured bacterium. Its description in RNAcentral is "partial 16S ribosomal RNA". It matches the Rfam family "Bacterial small subunit ribosomal RNA", at positions 524 to 773 of the family's 1533-position model. The record is from RNAcentral.